CCUACGGGUGGCAGCAGUCGAGAAUCAUUCACAAUGGGGGAAACCCUGAUGGAGCGACGCCGCGUGGGGGAAUGAAGGUCUGCGGAUUGUAAACCCCUGUCAUGUGGGAACAAAUUAAAAAGAUAGUACCACAAGAGGAAGAGACGGCUAACUCUGUGCCAGCAGCCGCGGUAAUACAGAGGUCUCAAGCGUUGUUCGGAAUGACUGGGCGUAACGGGUGCGUAGGCGGUUUCGUAAGUCGUGUGUGAAAGGCGCGGGCUCAACCCGCGGACGGCACCUGAUACUGCGAGACUAGAGUAAUGGAGGGGUAACCGGAUUUCUCGGUGUAGCAGUGAAAUGCGUAGCUAUCGAGAGGAACACUCGUGGCGAAGGCGGGUUCCUGGACAUUACCUGACGCUGAGGCACGAAGGCCCGUGCAGCGAACUGGAUUAGAUACCCGUGUAGUC
Molecule: ribosomal RNA, 446 nt
Filed under: uncultured bacterium
Lineage: Bacteria
Description: partial 16S ribosomal RNA
Rfam family: Bacterial small subunit ribosomal RNA
Source: RNAcentral